GGAGUAAUGCGUGACCAACCUGCCCCAUGCUCCAGAAUAGCUCUUGGAUACGGGUGGUAAUGCUGGAUGCUCCAACUUGACGCAUGUCUUGUUGGGAAAGUGUUUAGUGGCAUGGGAUGGGGUCGCGUCCUAUCAGCUUGUAGGCGGGGUAAUGGCCCACCUAGGCUUCGACGGGUAGCCGGCCUGAGAGGGCGGACGGCCACAUUGGGACUGAGAUACGGCCCAGACUCCUACGGGAGGCAGCAGUG
This 248-nucleotide ribosomal RNA is filed under the name uncultured Gardnerella sp. RNAcentral's name for it is "partial 16S ribosomal RNA". It matches the Rfam family "Bacterial small subunit ribosomal RNA", at positions 107 to 356 of the family's 1533-position model. The record is from RNAcentral. Lineage: Bacteria; Bacillati; Actinomycetota; Actinomycetes; Bifidobacteriales; Bifidobacteriaceae.